Molecule: non-coding RNA, 784 nt
Organism: Heterocephalus glaber (naked mole-rat)
Lineage: Eukaryota; Metazoa; Chordata; Mammalia; Rodentia; Bathyergidae
Source: RefSeq, a predicted model, not a curated record
GUUUUUCUGAAUCAGGAGUUGGUUGCUUGGAAUGAUUAAUAUUUAAAUAUGCUGUUUUCUCCCAGUUGAAACUAAGAUGGGAAUAACAAAUCGGGAAAAAGCACAUUGAAAAUGUGCAAAACGACCAUGCCUUGUGCAUUAUGUCCUGGGUUUGGUGUAAGCUGUGCUGUUCUGAAUUGUUUAAAGUGUGUUAUUUCCCUUCACAAAUGAGACAGUGAGCAGAGGUCUGGUUUGGAGGAGGAAGCGGGGCCAUGUAGGUCAAAGGAUACAAAGCGCAAACAUGUGGGAUGAACCAGUGGGCAACUCUGCAUUAAAGCACGAGGACGGCAGGGUGUCUCUCCAUCUCCCUGAGUUCUGCUGGAAGCACUGUGUAAUCAUCACCAAUGGACAUGAAGACAUGAACCAGCGUCCGGGCCACAAGGUACUAACUUCCCAGCCACAACCACAAGCUCCUCCCAGGUCAGAACAGGACUGAUGAACCAUCAGCAAAAGCCCUCAGUAAGAACCAGUUGACGACUUAAAAUUUACAAUAAAAAAUUCAACAUUUCAUUAUUAUUUGUGAAUUGAAUGCUUCGCAUCACUUAUAUCAGUAAAAUCUGCAAUAAAUACAUGUACAUACAUGAUGCAUACUUUUAAAAACCCAAAACCAGUUAUUAAAAGUACAGCACAUCAGUAAGUUAAAGCAAACUCAGAGCUCUAUUCCUCAUAUUACAUGUUCUUUCAUUUUUCUGUCUAGAAUCAUGCACAUUAUAAAAUUAAUUUUAAAUAAGUUGACACCACAUAG